Molecule: non-coding RNA, 605 nt
Organism: Lolium perenne
Lineage: Eukaryota; Viridiplantae; Streptophyta; Magnoliopsida; Poales; Poaceae
Source: RefSeq, a predicted model, not a curated record
CACUCCCCACUCUCUCCUCCACUCCCACACACUCUCCUCCUACCUCUCCCCACGAAAUUUCUGCUCCUCCUAGCUUCAUGGCCGGCCAUGGCCAUGGAAAGCUCACCAAGAUGCAGCUCCUUCCUCCCUCAAGCUCAUCCUCACCAUGAGAGCCUCCCCCUCCAUCUUCUCCCCAACCUUAGAUGGUUUAAUCUCCUCUUAUUCUCCCUCCAUUGCUAAGAUUGGAUCUUGAUGCAGGUGCAUGUUGGUCCAAGCAUGGAGAAGGUUGAGCUAUCCUCAGAUCUGAUGUUCUUGAGCAAAGUUCGUCCAAAACCUUGCAGUAAUUUCUGUUUCUUGCUGUUUCAGAUUCUGGUACGAUCUUGUAAAAUCCGCCAAAUCUCCUGUGCAGAUCCAAAUCGAGUGGUUCAAAGUUCUGCAGAUAGGGGAUACUUAGUUGUGCCAUGGUGAUACCUAGAGAGGCAAUUGCUAAGUCGUGGCACUCUCAUACCUUUACUAGAUGCGAACAAUUUCGGAGGAGAAGAAGAAGAAGUGGAAUCGGACAAGGAUUUUAUUUGUACUGUGGGAAUUCUUAUUUGAUGGAGUUGAAGAAUUCCAGGGACAAAUAA